UACGUAGGGUGCGAGCGUUGUCCGGAAUUACUGGGCGUAAAGAGCUCGUAGGCGGUGUGUCGCGUCGGCCGUGAAAACCUGCAGCUUAACUGUGGGCUUGCGGUCGAUACGGGCAUCACUGGAGUUCGGCAGGGGAGACUGGAAUUCCCGGUGUAGCGGUGAAAUGCGCAGAUAUCGGGAGGAACACCAAUGGCGAAGGCAGCUCGCUGGGACGGUACUGACGCUGAGACGCGAAAGCGUGGGGAGCAAACAGG
This 254-nucleotide ribosomal RNA is filed under the name uncultured bacterium. RNAcentral describes it as "partial 16S ribosomal RNA". It matches the Rfam family "Bacterial small subunit ribosomal RNA", at positions 524 to 776 of the family's 1533-position model. The record is from RNAcentral.